Molecule: ribosomal RNA, 468 nt
Filed under: uncultured bacterium
Lineage: Bacteria
Description: partial 16S ribosomal RNA
Rfam family: Bacterial small subunit ribosomal RNA
Source: RNAcentral
GACGAACGCUGGCGGCGUGCUUAACACAUGCAAGUCGAACGGAAAGGCCCUGCUCUUGCGGGGUGCUCGAGUGGCGAACGGGUGAGUAACACGUGAGUAACCUGCCCCUGACAUUGGGAUAACUUCAGGAAACUGGGGCUAAUACCGGAUAGGAGCUCCUGCUGCAUGUGGGGGGUUGGAAAGUGUCGGCGGUUGGGGAUGGACUCGCGGCUUAUCAGCUUGUUGGUGGGGUAGUGGCUUACCAAGGGUUUGACGGGUAGCCGGCCUGAGAGGGUGACCGGCCACAUUGGGACUGAGAUACGGCCCAGACUCCUACGGGAGGCAGCAGUGGGGAAUAUUGCACAAUGGGCGGAAGCCUGAUGCAGCAACGCCGCGUGCGGGAUGACGGCCUUCGGGUUGUAAACCGCUUUCGCCUGUGACGAAGCGUGAGUGACGGUAAUGGGUAAAGAAGCACCGGCUAACUACGUG